RNAcentral lists this long non-coding RNA (1355 nucleotides) under Gossypium barbadense (sea-island cotton). RNAcentral's name for it is "long non-coding RNA (GBAR_LNC005080)". Lineage: Eukaryota; Viridiplantae; Streptophyta; Magnoliopsida; Malvales; Malvaceae. The record is from RNAcentral.
GCACUCAGGUUUCUAUGACAUGUCAACUAUAUCUACGAAGUUCAAUGCUAAUCCAUAUAGGCGCUCGAAAAUAACUGAAUUUACAAUAAUUAAUCACAAAUACUUUAUUCCACGAUUUUCUUGAUUUCAUUAGACUUUCACAUUUCUUUCAUUCUAGUUUACUAUUUAAUAUUAUACGAACAUAUAAUUUCGAAUAUUAAAACUUUUAAGAACAUUUUCUUUACACUUCCAUUCCAUGACUAAUUAUGAUCUUUAUUCAUAUUAGUAUUGAUUUCACGAUUUUCACAAUUUAACUACACUUUUGCAUUUCUUCAAUUUAGUCUUUAUUUUUCCACAAUUUAAAGAACAAUUUUAAUUUCAUUUACAAUAAUCAAGAAACUUUAUUUAGUAAAUUCUUAAUUCACAAUACACAUUAUAUUUCGUAUUCUUUACAUCUUUUUCACUUAUCAAAUAAUAACACAUAAAACUUUCACGUACUUUUUAGUUUAGUCAUUUAACACGAAAUUCAAUAUUCACUAUCACGUAGCACUAAUCCAUUAGUUCAUCAUAACAUCUUAUUUUACAUGUCUUAACUUAUAUGUUGUUCACUUUUCUACCUAUUUUGACUGCCUAAAAAUCAUAAUUUUCACCAUCUAAGACAAUAACUUAAACAUUGUUAUAGAUUAUGCUUGUGGAAGUCAUGAUUAAUUUUAUUUUCACAAACUCACUUUGUAAGAAUCUCUAGCUCUUGAUACCAAUUUGUUGGAGAGAUUUUGGAAAUGAUGAAGGGAAAAGACAGCACUAAUCCAUUAGUUCAUCAUAACAUCUUAUUUUACAUGUCUAACUUAUAUGUUGUUCACUUUUCUACCUAUUUUGACUGCCUAAAAAUCAUAAUUUUCACCAUCUAAGACAAUAACUUAAACAUUGUUAUAGAUUAUGCUUGUGGAAGUCAUGAUUAAUUUUAUUUUCACAAACUCACUUUGUAAGAAUCUCUAGCUCUUGAUACCAAUUUGUUGGAGAGAUUUUGGAAAUGAUGAAGGGAAAAGACACUCAACAUGGAAUGAAUACUUUAUUCAUAUCAUAUUCUCUUUCUCUUACUUUCUAACAAGGGCUUCGUCGCUUACAACCUUUAUAUAAUUGUUGUAUGUGACUAUUAGUUUCAAUACAUACAUCUAAUAUAAUUAAUGUAUACCUAGUACAUACAUGCAUCUUAGAUAAAUACAUUCAUGCAUGUUAGUUAAAUGCCUAUUAGAUUCCCUAGAUUCAUCCUUUCUAAACACAUUGAUUACAUGCACACAGUCAUGACAUCACAAUAUCCAACAUCACUACUGACAAGAAAAAUAAGACAGAUGAGAAGGUGAAUGAUCAUGUCUUAC